GGCCUGGAGGAGAAGGAGAAUGCAAAAUGGAAGCGCGAGAUGGAAAUCGUCUCCUGCUGGGAAAGGGCAAGGCCACCCCAGACCUUGGGAGGAGGAGGACUCCACUUCCAGCCCAUCUACAGAGAGGGGUCAAAACAGCUUCUUGGUCUUGUCCCUCAUUGGAAAACUUCUAUACUGACACUGAGCCCCUCCGAAAUUGCCCAUGAGGGAGAACUUCAUGUAAUCUGACUGAGACAGGCUGCAGAGAUUGAUGGGAUGUGCUGAGCAGCAUCCUGGAAUCACUGACUUGGCCCCAAGUUCCACCGGGAAGCAGAGGUUAGGAGCAUUGUUCUGGUCUCAGUCCCACUGGCUCCGAGGUGCUGGCCAAGGCCUGGCCCAUGUUUAAGCCUUGAUUUCCCCAUCAGGGACGGAGUGAGGGUGUGAAGGAGCUAAGGAGCCCUAUCCUGACUUAUAGGACAAGCAACGGAUUGGCUUAACGCUCUUGGGCCUGCCCUACGUCUUCUGUAAGAGAGCGGGGAGUCGCCGCGAGUGGAGAAGGGUGGAGGCUGGCCAUGGGGGUCUCCACCAGCCUCCGAGCUGGAGGAGAAAGGAGAGCUCUGUCGGAACAGAGGAAGGAGGGUCGCAAAGAAGGCUGCACACCCGGCUCCCAGACAGAUCCUGGUGUCUCUCCACCCAGGAUCUCCUUCACUGCUGUCCAAACCUCAGCCCGGAAGUCCUGAUGGUGAUUAAACCUCCAUGUUUCUUGCUGCAGUUUCAGCUGGUGUUUUUAGGGACAGUGGGAGUCGGCUGGUUUUUCCUUGCUUUUUGCAGACCUGAACCCCAAGUCUGAUCAUGUUUCUGCUAGACCCUUUGAGGGCCAAGAUCCUCUUCUUCCUGGAAGAACGUUAUUCUAGAGGGGCUCUCGUUAACUGAUUUUUAGUAGAGUUGUCUUCUGCUGGGUAACACUGCUUGGGAUCUGCAGCCACCCUAGGAGGUCUUCACAUCCACCUGCCUGCCUCCAGGAGCCACAUCCAAGCGGUCUCCCGGAGACGGGGCUCUCCCUCAUUCCUGAGAGCCUCUA
RNAcentral lists this long non-coding RNA (1060 nucleotides) under Equus asinus (donkey). Its description in RNAcentral is "lncRNA (ENSEASG00005031890.1)". The record is from RNAcentral. Lineage: Eukaryota; Metazoa; Chordata; Mammalia; Perissodactyla; Equidae.